UACAUGUGCACGAUAUGUAAAAAAAAGUUGUUUAAGCUCGUUGGUUACUACUUCUACAAAUCGUAGAAGACUAUUGGAAAAUAAUUUGCAGAUAAAGUGUCGCCGUACCUCUUUUGACGAAAAAACAUGUGGCUGCAAGAACAAAGUUCGCAAAAGGACAUUACAAUUGGCCAUCUACAAAAUGGAUAGAGAUCAUAGAGAUGAAAACUAUGCAUUGGUAAGGAUCGGGGUCAUAUGUAACCAGCGUAGUCACUGAACUUGAAUCCGAUCGAAAAUGUAUGGUAGUGUUAUUAAACUAAUUGUAGCAACAGCAAAUCCAUCAAGUGGAACAGUUGUAAGGAAGCCGUGGGAUGAAAUCCCCAUGGGCGGAUAUCAUGAUAUAAAAGACUUUACAGAACGUCGGUGUAUGGAUGUACCUAUUAAACAUAUAAAGGCUUUAAAUCACUUAUUAGUCAAUCGAAAAUAUUUACUACAUGACCGUUUCACAACAGUCGGGUCUAAAUAAUCGGAACGGACAAAGAUGAAAUGUUUCCUGUCGCUACAACAACAUUUAGUAUAUGACAUUUUAAAUGUGAACUCGUUUUUUGUUUUUUCUUCUACAAAGUAGUCACUACUGCUUUCGUGAACAGACUAAUUUUUUUUUUUUGUAAAUCUUGUUAGUAAAAAAUACAUAUGUAUAUAGUGAAAACAAAACUCUGUAUAUGCAUAAAAAUGGCUAAAAAUUACUUUUAGUUUAGAUUUUUAACCUUUUAUUAUCUUAUAUUUAGAAACCACCAGCACUACUAUUUCAAUGAACACAUACAGUGAUGUGCGAUGAAAUAAAGCCAUACAUUUUCUGAUGAUAUUAUUGCACUUAAUUUUUUUUUAAGAAUCUAACAUGCCAUGAACUAAUUGUAGUUCAGUACUCACAUCGUCUGUGUAUAUUUUCCCGUUACUUCCGAAUUCAACUUCUAGUUCAUUUUUAACAAAUCAGUGAAAAUGUGCUAUUAAUUGUGCAGCAACGUGUGCGUUAAAAUAGAGCCAACCGAUAAAGUAAAACUUUUAGUGACAUUAAAACAUAUUUAUACAAUAUAAUUUAUGGGCAAACGUGUGUAAAGGUUUCUAGUUUUUUGAAUUUGGAGUAAAUUUGGGUGUUUAAUUCUUUUAAGAUCUAAAAUAGGGUAGAGCCAAACACUGCAGCCCUGAAUGCAGAAAAUUUAUAAAAAAUUUAGAAAGCAAGGCAAAAGUCAAAGAGAAAUAGCUGGAUUAGUGGCUGCUCAAAAAAAUGGUUUAAAACGAGGUUUUGCGAAGGCGUAUCCUGCGUUACGUUAAAAAAGAUCCAUUUGUGACCACUUCCGCACUCAAAAAACAGUUUUCUUUGGAUGUGGAUACUUCAACAAUUAGAAAACUCUUAAUCAAAGAGAGUUUAAAGGCUAAAAAAGCUCGAACGUUUCCGUUUCUAAACAAAGAAAACGUAAAAAAACGAUUAAAAUUUGUCGAGGAUCAUGUGAACUGGCCAGCGAGCAAGUGGCGAAACAUUCUUUGAUCAGAUAAAAUAAAAGUGAAUUUAUUUAACACUGACCGAGGCAGCCUUACUGUGCGAAGGCCCCCCAAUACCGAAUUCUGCCCUCAACACGCUGAAAAAACGGUAAAACAUGGCGGUGGGAGUAUAAUGGUAUGGGGGUACUUUUCUUAUUAUGGGACUGRUCCUCUAUUUCGGAUAGAAGGUACAAUGGAUGCCUUGCAGUGCACUAGAAUUUACAAUGAAACUAUGUUGCCUUACACAGAGCUUAAUAUGCCGCUUCUAUGGGUGUUCCAGCAAGACAACGACCCAAAACCCACAUCGAAACGGGCAACAGAAUGGUUUAGUCAAAAUAACAUCCAAGUUCUAUGCUGGCGCCACAGUCGCCAGAUCUAAACCCAAUUGAAAAUUUGUGGCGAGAGGUUAAAGUGGCUCUUAGAGGAAAAAAUCCAACAAAUAAAGAUGCCCUUUGGAAACUAGUGAACGACGCAUGGGAGCAAAUUCCCGCUGCUAAGUGCCUGAAUCUAGUGGAUUCGAUGCCCAGGCGUUGCUCAGCAGUUAUAAAAAAUAAAGCAUACUGCACUAAAUAUUGAAGUCAUGAGAUACGACUGAAAUUGAAUAAUUACUUUUGGCUCUAUUUCAAGUCACAGCCGAAAUAAGA
Long non-coding RNA from Bactrocera latifrons, 2162 nucleotides. RefSeq lists it as uncharacterized. NCBI's taxonomy places the organism in Eukaryota, Metazoa, Arthropoda, Insecta, Diptera, Tephritidae. The transcript has 2 exons. The record is from RefSeq and is a predicted model, not a curated record.